Otolemur garnettii (small-eared galago) is the source of this 276-nucleotide non-coding RNA. The record is from Rfam. Lineage: Eukaryota; Metazoa; Chordata; Mammalia; Primates; Galagidae.
GCCAGGCACGGUGAUGCAUGCCUGUAGUCCCAGAUACUAGGAGGCUGAGACAGGAUGAUUGCUUGAGUCCAGGAGUUAUGGGCUGUCAUGAGCUAUGUUGAUCAGGUGUUCACACUAAGUUCGGCAUCAAUGUGAUUACCUCCCAGGAGCCAAAGGCCACCAGGUUGCCUAAGGAGGGGUGAACUGCCCCAAAGCUCCCAUGCUGAUCAGUAGUGGGAUUGCGCUUGUGAAUAACCACUGCACUCCAGCCUAGGCAAGACUGAGACACCAUCUCUA